Molecule: ribosomal RNA, 304 nt
Filed under: uncultured bacterium
Lineage: Bacteria
Description: bacterial SSU rRNA
Rfam family: Bacterial small subunit ribosomal RNA
Source: RNAcentral
GACGAACGCUGGCGGCGCGCUUAACACAUGCAAGUCGAGCGAGAACCCUCCUUCGGGAGGGGGACAGCGGCGAACGGGUGAGUAACACGUGGGUAAUCUGCCCUCGGUUCUGGGAUAGCCCGGGGAAACCCGGAUUAAUACCGGGAUAGCCUCUCGAGCUCUCGGGCUCGUGAGAAAAAGGUGCUUCGGCCUCCGAUCGAGGAGGAGCCCGNGGCGGAUUAGCUUGUGGUGGGUAACGCCCACCAAGGCGACGAUCCGUAGCUGGUCUGAGAGGACGAUCAGCCACACUGGGACUGAGACACGG